GCCAGUAGCCAUAUCACCCUGUAGCUCACACUGAAGCUCAGCAUGUGUGAGCCUGGUCAGUACCUGGAUGGGAGACCUCCUGGGAAAAACUAAGGUUGCUGCUGGAA
This is a ribosomal RNA of Lepisosteus oculatus (spotted gar), 107 nucleotides long. The record is from Rfam. NCBI's taxonomy places the organism in Eukaryota, Metazoa, Chordata, Actinopteri, Semionotiformes, Lepisosteidae.